UACGGAGGAUCCAAGCGUUAUCCGGAAUCAUUGGGUUAAGGUCGUAGGCGGCCUAUAAGUCAGUGGUGAAGCCCCAUCGCUCAACGAUGGAACUGCCAUUGAUACUGUAAGGCUUGAAUUAUUGUGAAGUAACUAGAAUAUGUAGUGUAGCGGUGAAAUGCUUAGAUAUUACAUGGAAUACCAAUUGCGAAGGCAGGUUACUAACAAUGGAUUGACGCUGAUGGACGAAAGCGUGGGGAGCGAACAGGAUUAGAUACCCCGGUAGU
RNAcentral lists this ribosomal RNA (266 nucleotides) under uncultured bacterium. RNAcentral's name for it is "partial 16S ribosomal RNA". It matches the Rfam family "Bacterial small subunit ribosomal RNA", at positions 524 to 794 of the family's 1533-position model. The record is from RNAcentral.